GACGAACGCUGGCGGCGUGCUUAACACAUGCAAGUCGAACGAAGUGGCGAACGGGUGAGUAACGCGUAAUCAACCUGCCCUUCAGAGGGGGACAACAGUUGGAAACGACUGCUAAUACCGCAUACUGAAGGCGGGGAUUGCGUCUGAUUCGCUAGUUGGAGUGGUAACGGCCCACCAAGGCGAUGAUCCGUAGCCGGGCUGAGAGGAUUAACGGCCACAUGGGGCCUGAGACACGGCCCAGUACCGUACGGGAGGUAGCAGUGGGGAAUCUUCCGCAAUGGACGAAAGUCUGACGGAGCAACGCCGCGGGAGUGAUGACGGCCUUCGGGUUGUAAAGCUCUGUUAAUCGGGACGCGGUACCGGAAUAGAAAGCCACGGCUAACUACGUGCCAGCAGCCGCGGUAAUAC
Molecule: ribosomal RNA, 408 nt
Filed under: uncultured bacterium
Lineage: Bacteria
Description: partial 16S ribosomal RNA
Rfam family: Bacterial small subunit ribosomal RNA
Source: RNAcentral